Molecule: long non-coding RNA, 1108 nt
Organism: Oncorhynchus tshawytscha (Chinook salmon)
Lineage: Eukaryota; Metazoa; Chordata; Actinopteri; Salmoniformes; Salmonidae
Source: Ensembl
UUUGAAUCACAGAGGUUUAUUUACAAAACAGGGGGCAGGUAAAGGGCAGUAAUCCAGGGCAGAGUCCGUAAGGUACAGAACGGCAGGCAGGCUCAGGGACAAGACAGGUCAAAACCGGGAGGACUAGAAAUCAGACACUGGUAAACUUGACAAGAUGAACUGGCAACACACAAACAGAAAACACAGGUAUAAAUACACUGGGGAUAAUGGGGAAGAUGGACGGCACCUGGAGGGGGGUGGAGACAAGCACAAUCCCCCAACUGGGGGCAGGUGAAACAGAUCAGGGUGUGAUAGAGCAAUAACGUUGGACAGACCAUAAACUGAUCUGGGACCAGGCUAGGCAACUCUAUAGUUACGUUUAAAAAACUGUAGUUUUUAUCCUGAAGAAAAAAUUUGUCAGACACAUUUCAUUUUUCUGUGGUCUACAUUUUGAUUCUGCGAAGGUUGAUAACAGUGACAUCCAAUCAGAAUUCAGACUGCCUGCCCUGAAUGAUUUUUUCUGCCUAGCAACACUCUUUGGUCUGCUGGGUCCCUCUAGAGGUGACCAUGAACACAACACUAGAUGAGAACAGUGGGUUAUGUUAUUGCAAUGUGUCUGUGUUUUGAAGGCCAGUAGUUCUCAACCUUUUCGGUUGCUGUACCACCAAGUAUAUUUUGUUCUGCCCGGAGGAGCCCUGAAGGACCCCCUCAUGUGAGUUUACCAGUAAACCUAUGGUCUCAUGAGUUCUCAAGUACCCCAUGUGGAGAGGCCCAGGCAGUAAAUAUAGGAGUCCUGGUUGAUAUCCACUGGUGUAUGUCUACUGUAGAGACAGAGUCCUGGUGGAUAUCCACUAGUGUAGGUCUACUGUAGAGACAGAGUCCUGGUUGAUAUCCACUAGUGUAGGUCUACUGUAGAGACAGAGUCCUGGUUGAUAUCCACUAGUGUAGGUCUACUGUAGAGACAGAGUCCUGGUUGAUAUCCACUAGUGUAGGUCUACUGUAGAGACAGAGUCCUGGUUGAUAUCCACUGAUGGAGGUCUACUGUAGAGACAGAGUCCUGGUUGAUAUCCACUGGUGUAGGUCUACUGUAGAGACAGAGUCCUGGUUGAUAUCCACUGGUGUAGGUCUA